This 451-nucleotide ribosomal RNA is filed under the name uncultured bacterium. RNAcentral describes it as "bacterial SSU rRNA". It matches the Rfam family "Bacterial small subunit ribosomal RNA", at positions 340 to 786 of the family's 1533-position model. The record is from RNAcentral.
UACGGGAGGCAGCGGGGGGAAUAUUGCACAAUGGGCGCAAGCCUGAUGCAGCCAUGCCGCGUGUAUGAAGAAGGCCUUCGGGUUGUAAAGUACUUUCAGUCGUGAGGAAGGUGUUAAGGUUAAUAACCUUAGCAAUUGACGUUAGCGACAGAAGAAGCACCGGCUAACUCCGUGCCAGCAGCCGCGGUAAUACGGAGGGUGCGAGCGUUAAUCGGAAUUACUGGGCGUAAAGGGCACGCAGGCGGUUAAUUAAGUUGGAUGUGAAUCCCCGGGCUUAACCUGGGAAUGGCAUUCAAGACUGGUUAGCUAGAGUCUUGUAGAGGGGGUAGAAUUCCAUGUGUAGCGGUGAAAUGCGUAGAGAUGUGGAGGAAUACCGGUGGCGAAGGCGGCCCCUGGACAAAGACUGACGCUCAUGUGCGAAAGCGUGGGGAGCAAACGAGGAUUAGACUAC